RNAcentral lists this ribosomal RNA (253 nucleotides) under uncultured bacterium. RNAcentral describes it as "partial 16S ribosomal RNA". It matches the Rfam family "Bacterial small subunit ribosomal RNA", at positions 524 to 776 of the family's 1533-position model. The record is from RNAcentral.
UACGGGGGGGGUAAGCGUUGUUCGGAAUUACUGGGCGUAAAGGGCUCGUAGGCGGCCAACUAAGUCGGACGUGAAAUCCCUCAGCUUAACUGGGGAACUGCGUCCGAUACUGGAUGGCUUGGAUUUGGGAGAGGGAUGCGGAAUUCCGGGUGUAGCGGUGGAAUGCGUAGAUAUCCGGAGGAACACCGGUGGCGAAGGCGGCUUCCUGGACCGACACUGACGCUGAGGCGCGAAAGCUAGGGGAGCAAACGGG